This is a long non-coding RNA of Vicia villosa (hairy vetch), 2668 nucleotides long. RefSeq lists it as uncharacterized. The record is from RefSeq and is a predicted model, not a curated record. Lineage: Eukaryota; Viridiplantae; Streptophyta; Magnoliopsida; Fabales; Fabaceae. The transcript has 2 exons.
UUUAAUUCACAUGCUUUUAUUCACAUAAUUUACAAAUAUGCAAUUAUUCUUAUUUUUAUUUUAUUUGAGUAGUUAUUUCACUUUGUUUGUUAAAUUUUGUAGAAUUUUAGUAAUAAGAGUAUUAGAUGAAAGAUCAUGGAAAAAUUCAAGGCAAAAACAAAACAAGUCAAGAAAAGCAAGGAAAGUCAUGUCUUGGGACCAACUUUCUUAGGGUGGAGUGAAAGCAACCUCAUAGAUACUUUUAGGACAUGUGUACUUGGAGUGGAGUGGAAGCUACAUCAAAGACACUUUUUGGUCCAUAUAUUGUGAUUGGUUGCAUGUCUUUGAAAAACAACAACAAUCAUUACCUUUUGUUUUAUUUGAAAAAGUGAAAUAAUGGGAUUUUUUGUUUAUUGUUAUAAAUAGAGACUUAGAGAUGUCACUUAGAGGCAUCACAUUCCAUUAUCACUUAGAAAAACCAAAAAAUAGUAACAAUGUAGAUGUGAAGCAAAAUUCCAUUUUCUUUUGUCAAGGUUGGAGAUUCUUGUGUUUGUGUGAAAAGGCUACCGAAGAACAAUAUCCAUUCAAGUCCGGAAUUGAAAGGAUGAUUCGGAAGCUCAAUAGCAUGACACUUUCCAAAUCGAUGUUGCCAAGAAGGAAAGCAUGGAGGUGUACCGUCGAGCUCUAACGACGUUAAACAAAGCGCUUGUUGGGAGGCAACCCAACGUUGUAAGUUUUUAUUUCAUAAGUAAAUUUUUUGUUUUUGUUAAUUGCAUUUUUUGUUUAAUUGUGUGUUUUAAAGGUGUGAAUUUUAUGCAAAUUGUGUUACCCCACUUUCCAAAAUUUUUGUUUAAUUGUUUCUAUUCAUUAAGAGAAGCUUCAAGGAACAAUGUGGCAAUUACAAGAGAGGAUUGCAAGACAAUUUGGUUGGUAAUGAUAAGAUUGGUACUCGGCACUUCAUGGUACAAUUUUACCGAUUUCUAGACUUAACAUGAAUAACUUGAUGGUUUGUGCAAAUUUCAUAUCAUUAAUUCUUUGAGAUACAUGUCAAUUUUGAAUCAAAAAUAGAACUUAACCAUGUGUGAAGUAGCUUUCCAUUGUACACUAAAUGCGGGAGACCGAACUUUAUUUUAACUCAUUCUUAUCAUGCUAAAUCAUACAUUGGUCCAUUUUUUUGUGAAAAUUAUGAAAGUGAUAGAGGCAUUGUUUGUUAUUGAGAAAAACCACAAAAAAUAAUAAUAAUAAAUUCAACUAACCUUGUGAGGAGUGAUCCUUAGUCAACCCCUUUGAGCUCAUUUUAGGAUUCAUUCAAAUGCAUCAAUUUAGUGAAUGAAUGAAUCUAAAUUUUUUGUUUCAUUUUGAACCUUCAACCAAUUUGGUUGUAAUUCUAUUUCUUUCCCUAUAGGGAGCAUUAUUGCAAUUUGAGUUGGUUUGAAAACCAAAGUUGGGGAGAAAAUAAGUGUUGGUAAAAAUAAAAUAAAAAAUAAAAAAAAAGAAAAAGAAAGAAAAAAAAAUAAUUUGGAUCAAGAAGAAAGUAUUAUUGAGUUUGAUUUGAUAAAAAUGCUCCCUUAGGAUUUUUGUUUAAUUUUCCUUGAUAUUACCCUUUCUUUGUAACCCAAGCCACAUUACAACCCAUAAAAGACCUCUUGAUUCUCACUUUUCACAUGAUUUGGUAUUUGUUUUGAUAAUUGCAUGAUUUGAGUGUUGUUGAUUUAAUUGUUCGGAUGAGUGAAAGAAAACCUCAUAUUUAUUCAUCAUUAUCAUGAUGUGUGUAGGUUUGAUUCAAUUUUGACAUGUAUUACUUGGAAUUUCUUGAUAUGUACUUUGCACCCAACCAUUGUUUUGUUCAUGUUUUGUCCUAGUAUUGAGGUAAGUGAAUCGCGAAGAGCCAUGUACUUUUGAACCAACUGAUUGUUUUGAUGAAUUCUUAAUCAUUCUCUUGUUAUGUCACUUUGGUUUCGUUGGUGGAAAACUUUUGUUUAGGGACAAACAAAAUGGUAAGUUGGGGAGAGUUGUUAGGGACCAAAUAGUAUUAAUUUUUAUACUAUUUUUAUUGGUCUCUUUAACCAAAUUUUAUUUAAUUCACAUGCUUUUAUUCACAUAAUUUACAAAUAUGCAAUUAUUCUUAUUUUUAUUUUAUUUGAGUAGUUAUUUCACUUUGUUUGUUAAAUUUUGUAGAAUUUUAGUAAUAAGAGUAUUAGAUGAAAGAUCAUGGAAAAAUUCAAGGCAAAAACAAAACAAGUCAAGAAAAGCAAGGAAAGUCAUGUCUUGGGACCAACUUUCUUAGGGUGGAGUGAAAGCAACCUCAUAGAUACUUUUAGGACAUGUGUACUUGGAGUGGAGUGGAAGCUACAUCAAAGACACUUUUUGGUCCAUAUAUUGUGAUUGGUUGCAUGUCUUUGAAAAACAACAACAAUCAUUACCUUUUGUUUUAUUUGAAAAAGUGAAAUAAUGGGAUUUUUUGUUUAUUGUUAUAAAUAGAGACUUAGAGAUGUCACUUAGAGGCAUCACAUUCCAUUAUCACUUAGAAAAACCAAAAAAUAGUAACAAUGUAGAUGUGAAGCAAAAUUCCAUUUUCUUUUGUCAAGGUUGGAGGUAGCUAUUCCUCACUUUUCUCAUGUAUUCAUCUUAAACUCAUUGUAUGUGAACAAGAUUAUUAUGUUGAAUGUAAAAAUAACUUCUUUGUGUC